UUCAAGCCCCCCCUCCAAAAAAAAUGGGGUGAAAGUUGGUUCUCAUACUGUUUCUGAUAAAGUUAAAAAGGUUGAAGAAAUUUAUAUCUAUUCAGCAGGUGCAUUUGCUUCAUGUGCUUCAUGAUGUUCAGAAAAGACAAAUGAGAACUUCAUUGAAAAUAAAUAUUUCAAAGGCAUUUUAAAUAAAUAAAGAUGAAAGAGGAAGUCGGUGAACAAGAACUAGAAAGCCUAAAGACUUUCCUGUCUCAGAAGAGGCUCUGGCUCCACCAGAUCACCAACCAGUUCUGAGGAUGUCACAUACAUAAGCGAAUCCACAACGUCUUAAAAUUGUUUCUGUAAAGCGCAGUGGUCCAGUGAAUAGGAAUUUUCUGUUGUUGAUCCUCACUGUUCUUAGGACGGAGAAAUGUCAGUUUGUCUGGAAUAAUACUGGAAUACUGUGACAUUGUAUUAAAAUAAUACUCUAUCCUUGGUGAAAUAUAUUUCACAUUUCCUCUAAAGUGUAUCUAUUGUUUUAUUGUGCUGAUUUUCAUAAGCAUGUUGUCUGUAAACUUUAAAUGUAUUGACAAUUUGUACAAUUCUGUGAUAGCAUAUUGGCAAUGUAUUCUUGAAAAAUGUGAGGAAGACUUUAUUUGACAGGGUGUGCAUAAGACUGACAUGAUACUGUCAUAAACAUAACACCUGUGAGGAACAUACUAAUAGGUGUUAUGAAGUGUUAUUCGGUAAAUAAUGACACUUCUAAUGAGAAGUUGCUUUAAAAGUUGGAUGACAGUGUUAUGUCAGACCUAUGCACACCUCAUCAAACAAAGUGUGACCAAAAUGGUAAUAUAUUGAAAGCACAAUGUAAUUAGUUUCACCUGUAAAGUGUGUUGUAAUUGAUCCUGAUGUGUUUGCAGUGCUGCAGUGUGUAUGAAGCAUGUAAUGUACAAAGUGGCAAAGCAGAAUAAUAAAAUACAUUAAGUAACUAAAAAGUGUACUUCAUCAGCAAUUAUAAUAAAACAAAAGUGUAAUUGUAGCAUACUGUAAUCACAUUACUAAUGCAUAAAAUAUGUAAUGCCGAUAUACUUAAAAUACAUUCU
This is a long non-coding RNA of Xiphophorus maculatus (southern platyfish), 1076 nucleotides long. RefSeq lists it as uncharacterized. The transcript is spliced from 3 exons. Lineage: Eukaryota; Metazoa; Chordata; Actinopteri; Cyprinodontiformes; Poeciliidae. The record is from RefSeq and is a predicted model, not a curated record.